CGUGAGAUGUUGGGUUAAGUCCCGCAACGAGCGCAACCCCUAUCUUUAGUUGCCAUCAGGUUGGGCUGGGCACUCUAGAGAGACUGCCGGUGACAAGCCGGAGGAAGGUGGGGAUGACGUCAAGUCCUCAUGGCCCUUAUGUCCUGGGCUACACACGUGCUACAAUGGCGGUGACAGUGGGAAGCUAGGUGGUGACACCAUGCUGAUCUCUAAAAGCCGUCUCAGUUCGGAUUGCACUCUGCAACUCGAGUGCAUGAAGGUGGAAUCGCUAGUAAUCGCGGAUCAGCACGCCACGGUGAAUACGUUCCCGGGUCUUGUACACAC
RNAcentral lists this ribosomal RNA (324 nucleotides) under uncultured bacterium. RNAcentral's name for it is "bacterial SSU rRNA". It matches the Rfam family "Bacterial small subunit ribosomal RNA", at positions 1066 to 1390 of the family's 1533-position model. The record is from RNAcentral.